This 253-nucleotide ribosomal RNA is filed under the name uncultured bacterium. RNAcentral's name for it is "partial 16S ribosomal RNA". It matches the Rfam family "Bacterial small subunit ribosomal RNA", at positions 524 to 776 of the family's 1533-position model. The record is from RNAcentral.
UACGGAGGGGGCUAGCGUUGUUCGGAAUUACUGGGCGUAAAGCGCGCGUAGGCGGACCUGCAAGUCAGGGGUGAAAGCCCGAGGCUCAACCUCGGAACUGCCUUCGAUACUGCGGGUCUCGAGUCCGGGAGAGGUGAGUGGAAUUCCUAGUGUAGAGGUGAAAUUCGUAGAUAUUAGGAAGAACACCAGUGGCGAAGGCGGCUCACUGGCCCGGUACUGACGCUGAGGCGCGAAAGCGUGGGGAGCAAACAGG